CCGCAUUCGGUGUCUUUACCUGGACUACAACGUUUUACCACACCCAUUCCUGGACCACAUCUACUGCAAUGCGAACCCUCACGAUGAUGCCUAAUGUGAGGUCGACAUUCUGCAAACUGGAAAAAACAAAUAAAUAAAAAUAAUUGUGAACGGAAAAAUUUACAAGGAGUGUGGCGAAUAUUGAAAAAGAAAAAUUCGAUCUGAAGUGUCACGAGCGCGGUAUUUAAAAUGACAACCUCUAUUUAAAAAAAAAAAAAAUAAAACGAUUAUUGCAGUAAUUUUACACAUCGGGUAAAGGAGGAAAAAAAAAGGAUAUUAUUUUCUUUUUUCGGAUAAUAGUCAGCAGCUUAAAGGUAAAGAGUCAGCCGCCAGCUGUCGAUGGCACGCGCCAGCGGUUUCAAAAAAAGUCAGCGAACAGAGUCUACAGUUUUAUUUUCAAUCGAGUGCAAUAGUGAUGAGGGAAACAAUAAAUACGAUGACGUAUGUGAAUGGGAACUUCCGACGUUAAUAAAACGGAAAUGGUGAGAGUGCGAAAAAUAUCCUUUAAGUGACACAAAGGAGUUUGGAGCUUAUUCCCUGAAAAAGCUUCACUUCCCCAUAGGUCAGAAGGUCACGCCACGAUGGUUUCCACACAUUUUUCUGUUCAUUCUAUAUUACUCUCGGCGAGGUUUGACUUCCGAUAGGAAGUUCCAGGCAAGAGGGUGAAAUACUGCAGCUGCCUGCACUCAACGCUAUAUAUAUAUAUA
This is a long non-coding RNA of Leptopilina boulardi, 746 nucleotides long. RefSeq lists it as uncharacterized. NCBI's taxonomy places the organism in Eukaryota, Metazoa, Arthropoda, Insecta, Hymenoptera, Figitidae. The transcript has 4 exons. The record is from RefSeq and is a predicted model, not a curated record.